RNAcentral lists this long non-coding RNA (222 nucleotides) under Mytilus galloprovincialis (Mediterranean mussel). The record is from RNAcentral. Lineage: Eukaryota; Metazoa; Mollusca; Bivalvia; Mytilida; Mytilidae.
UUUACAGUAGAUCAUUAUGUAAAAUGCAUUGUAAGGCAGCUUCAUUUUGAGAAAGUGCUAUGACUGUACGAGUGAGUGCAGGUUAAUCAUUUGUACGUAUUGAACAGUGUGAAAGUAGUAUAUAUCAAAGAACAAUAGUUCAUUUGUAAGAAUUGUGAUAUGAAAGUUAUAUUUGAGAAAUAUUAAGUGAUGCAAGAUUUUUAUAAAUAAAUGAGUCUUGAA